AGUGAACGCUGGCGGCAGGCCUAACACAUGCAAGUCGAACGGCAGAACAGUAAGAGCUCGUUCUUUCGGGUGGCGACGGGCGGAUGGGUGCGGAGUAAAUCGCAAUCUAUGGUGUCGAGGGGGAGAACGCAGGGAAACAUCCCUCAUACCGCAUACGACCUACAGGGGAAAGCAUGGGGUCUUCAGACCUUCAGCGAUUGAUUGAGCGGAUGUGGGAUUUGCUAGUUGGCGGGGUAAAGGCCCACCAAGGCGAGGACCCGUAACUGGUCUGAUGGGAUGAUCAGCCACACUGGAACUGAGACACGGUCCAGACUCCUACGGGAGGCAGCAGUGGGGAAUAUUGGACAAUGGGCGAAAGCCUGAUCCAGCCAUACCGCGUGAGUGAAGAAGGUCUUCGGAUUGUAAAGCCCUUUUGGUGGGAAGGAAGAGCAGCAAGUUAAUACCCCGCUGUUCUGACGGUACCCAAAGAAUAAGCACCGGCUAACUUCGUG
RNAcentral lists this ribosomal RNA (491 nucleotides) under uncultured bacterium. RNAcentral's name for it is "partial 16S ribosomal RNA". It matches the Rfam family "Bacterial small subunit ribosomal RNA", at positions 29 to 507 of the family's 1533-position model. The record is from RNAcentral.